Molecule: ribosomal RNA, 440 nt
Filed under: uncultured bacterium
Lineage: Bacteria
Description: partial 16S ribosomal RNA
Rfam family: Bacterial small subunit ribosomal RNA
Source: RNAcentral
CCUACGGGAGGCAGCAGUAGGGAAUAUUGCACAAUGGUGGAAACCCUGAUGCAGCGACGCCGCGUGAGUGAAGAAGUAUUUCGUUAUGUAAAGCUCUAUCAUCAGGGAAGAAAAUGACGGUACCUGAGUAAGAAGCCCCGGCUAACUACGUGCCAGCAGCCGCGGUACUACGUAGGGGGCAAGCGUUAUCCGGAUUUACUGGGUGUAAAGGGAGCGUAGACGGCAGUGCAAGUCUGGAGUGAAAGGCGGGGGCUCAACCCCCGAACUGCUCUGGAAACUGUACGGCUGGAGUGCAGGAGAGGUAAGUGGAAUUCCUGGUGUAGCGGUGAAAUGCGUAGAGAUUAGGAGGAACACUAGUGGCGAAGGCGGCUUACUGGACUGUAACUGACGUUGAGGCGCGAAAGCGUGGGGAGCAAACAGGAUUAGAUACCCCAGUAGUC